GGGGUUGUGGCUCAGUGGUGGAUCACUUGCCUAGAAUACAUGAGGCAUUGGGUUCGAUCCCCAGCACCACA
RNAcentral lists this transfer RNA (71 nucleotides) under Marmota monax (woodchuck). Its description in RNAcentral is "tRNA.Ser". The record is from RNAcentral. Lineage: Eukaryota; Metazoa; Chordata; Mammalia; Rodentia; Sciuridae.